GAGUUUGAUCAUGGCUCAGAUUGAACGCUGGCGGCAUGCCUUACGCAUGCAAGUCGAACGGCAGCACGGGAGCUUGCUCCUGGUGGCGAGUGGCGAACGGGUGAGUAAUGCAUCGGAACGUAUCCUGGAGUGGGGGAUAACGUAGCGAAAGUUACGCUAAUACCGCAUAUUCUGUGAGCAGGAAAGCGGGGGACCUUCGGGCCUCGCGCUCUUGGAGCGGUUCCGAUGUCGGAUUAGCUAGUUGGUGAGGUAAAGGCUCACCAAGGCGACGAUCCGUAGCAGGUCUGAGAGGAUGAUCUGCCACACUGGAACUGAGGCACGGUCCAGACUCCUACGGGAGGCAGCAGUGGGGAAUUUUGGACAAUGGGGGCAACCCUGAUCCAGCCAUGCCGCGUGAGUGAAGAAGGCCUCGGUU
This 415-nucleotide ribosomal RNA is filed under the name bacterium enrichment culture clone ALO1_GLFRUDD03FV3RQ. Its description in RNAcentral is "bacterial SSU rRNA". It matches the Rfam family "Bacterial small subunit ribosomal RNA", at positions 9 to 424 of the family's 1533-position model. The record is from RNAcentral.